GCCAGACUCCUACGGGAGGCAGCAGUGGGGAAUAUUGGGCAAUGGACGCAAGUCUGACCCAGCAACGCCGCGUGAAGGAAGAAGGCUUUCGGGUUGUAAACUUCUUUUAAGGGGGAAGAGCAGAAGACGGUACCCCUUGAAUAAGCCACGGCUAACUACGUGCCAGCAGCCGCGGUAAUACGUAGGUGGCAAGCGUUGUCCGGAUUUACUGGGUGUAAAGGGCGUGUAGGCGGGACUGCAAGUCAGAUGUGAAAACCACGGGCUCAACCUGUGGCCUGCAUUUGAAACUGUAGUUCUUGAGUACUGGAGAGGCAGACGGAAUUCCUAGUGUAGCGGUGAAAUGCGUAGAUAUUAGGAGGAACACCAGUGGCGAAGGCGGUCUGCUGGACAGCAACUGACGCUGAGGCGCGAAAGCGUGGGGAGCAAACAGGAUUAGAUACCCUAGUAAA
This 449-nucleotide ribosomal RNA is filed under the name uncultured bacterium. RNAcentral's name for it is "bacterial SSU rRNA". It matches the Rfam family "Bacterial small subunit ribosomal RNA", at positions 330 to 794 of the family's 1533-position model. The record is from RNAcentral.